UUUAUAUAUGUAUAUAUAUACUGUUUUUUUAUUUUCAUAUUUUUUUUUCUUUUCGUUUUUGAUUAAUAUUUGGGACCUUUUUGCAACUGGCGCUGGCUAUGCGGUCUUG
Long non-coding RNA from Drosophila navojoa, 109 nucleotides. NCBI's taxonomy places the organism in Eukaryota, Metazoa, Arthropoda, Insecta, Diptera, Drosophilidae. The record is from RefSeq and is a predicted model, not a curated record.